GACGAACGCUGGCGGCGUGCCUAAUACAUGCAAGUCGAGCGAAGUUUUUCUGGUGCUUGCACUAGAAAAACUUAGCGGCGAACGGGUGAGUAACACGUAAAGAACCUGCCUCAUAGACUGGGACAACUAUUGGAAACGAUAGCUAAUACCGGAUAACAGUAUUUCUCGCAUGAGAGAUAUUUAAAAGUUGGUUAUGCUAACACUAUGAGAUGGCUUUGCGGUGCAUUAGCUAGUUGGUGGGGUAAAGGCCCACCAAGGCGACGAUGCAUAGCCGACCUGAGAGGGUGAUCGGCCACACUGGGAUUGAGACACGGCCCAGACUCCUACGGGAGGCAGCAGUAGGGAAUCUUCCGCAAAGGGCGAAAGCCUGACGGAGCAACGCCGCGUGAGUGAAGAAGGAUUUCGGUUCGUAAAGCUCUGUUGUUAGGGAAGAAUGGAUAUGUAGUAACUAUACAUGUAAGAGACGGUACCUAACCAGAAAGCCACGGCUAACUACGUG
RNAcentral lists this ribosomal RNA (499 nucleotides) under uncultured bacterium. RNAcentral's name for it is "partial 16S ribosomal RNA". It matches the Rfam family "Bacterial small subunit ribosomal RNA", at positions 28 to 507 of the family's 1533-position model. The record is from RNAcentral.